AGUGUAGGCGGUCAAGCAAGUCAGGGGUGAAAGGCAUCGGCUCAACCGAUGUAAGCCUUUGAAACUGUUUGACUUGAGUGCAGGAGAGGUAAGUGGAAUUCCUAGUGUAGCGGUGAAAUGCGUAGAUAUAGGAGGAACACCAGUGGCGAAGGCGACUUACUGGACUGUAACUGACGCUGAGGCUCGAAAGCGUGGGGAGCGAACA
RNAcentral lists this ribosomal RNA (205 nucleotides) under uncultured bacterium. Its description in RNAcentral is "partial 16S ribosomal RNA". It matches the Rfam family "Bacterial small subunit ribosomal RNA", at positions 568 to 774 of the family's 1533-position model. The record is from RNAcentral.